Molecule: long non-coding RNA, 28037 nt
Filed under: Elaeis guineensis (African oil palm)
Lineage: Eukaryota; Viridiplantae; Streptophyta; Magnoliopsida; Arecales; Arecaceae
Description: long non-coding RNA (EGUI_LNC032618)
Source: RNAcentral
UUGCUUUGAUUCUUCCUCUUCCCCAGGCUUUUUAAGGAUAUACAAAGGAUGGUAAUAUGUGAUGGAGAUGUUGCAAAUGCUCAAAAAAUCGUAGAAAGGAAGCUCUAUUUUUCCAGUAGUUAUAUUCUCUAAUAUCAUAACAUGAAAGGGUUUGCAUGACCUAUGCAGCCAUGCAUAGCAAAAAGACAGUAUCUGGAAAUGUUACUUAAGAAAUCCGCUGUCAAAAGGCAAGCCCCCCUCCAUCCAUCUGCCUGUCUAUCUAUAAAGAACUUUUUGUCCUUUAGAAGUAUAAAUCCAUUAGUAAUAGAUUGCAGUCUCUUUCUUUCUUGAAGAGAAAUAAGAGAAUUCCACCACUAAACUUUGGUUUUGUUAGGAGGGGGGGGUGGGGGGUGGGGGUGGGGUUGGGAUUGCAUAUAUUGAUGAACACUGAUUUUGAGGAAGCCCUCAGGGAGAUGGGUUGCAGUCAUUCUCAAGCAUAAUACAUGCCAAGCAUGAUUGCAUUAUAAUUGGCAGCGUCUGUGUUAUUCUCAAGCUUACUAGAAAAUGGAUUGUUGCUCAAGUAUGUCGAUAUUUUUUUAAUCUAGUAAGCUUUUACAAAUGCAUAAAUGGGAACGGCGUCGUAAAGAUAAAGUAAAAUUAUAGAGAAAAGAAAACAUAAGUAAUCCAUUGAAGCUUGAAAUUUAAUGCAUAAAAUAUUCCAAAUGUAAAAUCUUUUACCAACAGCAUGUGGACAAAAUUGUUCCAGCUACCAAGAAAUGAAACAAAACAACUGAAACAACUGUGGAAACAGCAUGUGCCAUACUCUUGCCAUACCUACAACAUAGAAAUCAAUGUUAAUGUCCACAAGUACGUAGAAAACUAAGAAAGCUAUACUCCAUACAGGGCAAAAACAAGUUCCAUUAGGAGAACUUAAAGGAUUAUAUAAACAGAAACUAGAGGAAUAAUUAGAAAAACCUGCUAAUCCUGUCAUCCAGAACACAUCUUAGUAUGCCAAUUGCAAAAUUUGCACGCAAUGAAGAGAAACUUACGCAGCACAGUAACCUGAAAAGGCAACCAACAAAAACAGACAGAGAAUGACAACAAAAGCAGGAUCAUCUCGUGCCCACUGGUUCUUGUUUCUGGGGAAAAGGGGAAGGUCCGUAUAAAUACUAAUUCCACUUUAUACAACAAACAAAUUAAAAGGAUAACUAAAAAUGCAUAAUAUAAAUUUAAAAUGAUGCCGCAGGAAAUUACAUAUGAAACUUGCAUCGAACAAUGCUCUGGAAGGUCCAAAAACUUACAAGUUUAUAUAGAAAAUGCUAUAACUUACUCCAUGGAAGAUUAAUCCAUUAGUAUGACACUGAAUAUCUGUCUAUUGUAUCAAAUCUUUGAAAUGUAUCUUCUAAGGAACCUAGACCUACUGAAUAGCCUUUGUAUAUCUCGUACUGUUAAUGCUGAUUAUUGAGAUAAAGUGGUCAUAACUUGGUCGGCGUCUCCAUCAUAACAAUACUUCCACAUAGUACACUUAAAACCAUUGUUUGCCAUCUUCGUACCAGACCCCAUAUUGGUAAAAUCCCAUUAUACUGCCGGUACACAGUAUAGUACGGUACAGUAGUGACGAGAUAGGUGGUAAGGCAUAUCAGUACAGUACCAGUAUGGUAUGGUAUGCCCCAUACCUGACAGUACGGCGAACCAUGCCUAAAACUAUUCCAAAAUUGGUGGUACUAUUUCUAUAAGAUCAAAUGAAAAAGGCAUAAACAGAAAGCAAGAAGUUCCACUAUAAUCAUAACCAUCAAGCCUUGUCCCAACUACUUGCCAUUGACUUUAUGAAUUCAUAUUCACCAAACAUCUACAAAUUGCAUUGUCCUAGCCUCCAUGAUAAAUUAGUUCUCUUACUCCUUGCCCAUACAAAAUACUUGAUAUUUGUAGUUGCUGAUCUCCUUGAUUAACCUCAAUUUUAUAUGGAAAAGCUCAAGCUAUGCUGCAACACAAAAAACUUCAAUGCCCUAAGUCAUUCACAUGCAAAUCUUAAAAACAAACAAAUAAUCUUUAAAAAAACCUCAUUAGACCCAAACUACUGAAGGAAAGAAAACGAUAAAAUGAAUUGAAAAAAAAAAAAAAACUUUUCUCAGCAUGCUCAGUUGCGAACAAUCAACCAGUAGUGUCAUAUCUCCCCCUUCCGAUGGUUCAAGGAGUCAUAAGAAACAUGAAUAAGUUGAAACAAAUAAAAGGAAAAAGAGCAGCCCAAUGCACGAGUUUCCUGCCAUUGCAGGUCUAUGUAUGCAGCAUUAUCCCUACACACAAAGAGGUUUCCAUUUUUCAGACCAAUGACCUCCACGUCACAAUAAAGCAACCUUACCAUUGUGUCAAGGAUCACCCUCUUGAAGUGAAUAAAAGAAAGCCCUAUGAAUUUUUUUGGUUCAAGAAAGGACAUAUGCCUUAUUAGUAUGGGAUAUUUGGUCCUCAGGAGACCUUUUUACAGUAAAUAAUUUUCUAUGCAAUAUGUUGCUGAAAGAUGCUUGUCACAUCUAGAUUAAAAGGACCGCAGCCUCAUGAUAUGUUGGUUCAUCAUAAUGAAAGUACUUCAUUUUCCUUCCUCAAUUUCUUGAAGCGAAAAUCCCUUGGAAAAAUAUUACAUCGAGUAUUUCCUUGGAAAAUUAGCAUAAUCUCUUAUCCCUUAAAGUCUUUUACCAAAAUUUAGAACUUGCCUACUAGAUAUGCUUUCCUACACAAUUGUGCUAGAAAAGAACAAGGAAGUUUCAGGAUGCAUAACAGAUAUGUCAAAGGCUUUACCAAUAUAGCAAUCAGGAAGGUUUUAAGCCGUUUUCCCAAUUUAGAGGUGCAAAAGGUUCCAUGUUGCUGACUGCCAUAUAUGACAUCUAAAAAAGCAUGAUAUUAUAUUGAGCUCUAUGCUGCAUGGACUCAGUUUUGUGUGUCUAGUGCUGGUGCAUGUCUAAGCGUUGUAUCCUUUCAACAUCUAAGAAUUUAUUCUUAUGGAGACUUGUCCAAGUGUCAUACCAAUGUCGGCAUUUAUGGGUCAGGUGCAGGUAUUUUAGGCUAGAUUGAAGUGUCUGGUAACAUUGGUUGUGUUUGUGGAUGUUGAUAUAUCUUUGCUCUUUCUAAUUGUUUAACUUAGUUACCUGGAAUGUACUGAAAUCUAAUUCCUAUCAUUCUCAUCCGUACAACGUGGUGCAACCCACCAUUUUUUUGGAGUGUUCCCAAGAAAAAGAAAAUAACAAAGCUCAAUCAUUACUAGAUUCCAAAACACCCAUGCAAAUAAGACAUACAAAGAAAGAUGUAAACUAUUAUGCCAAAAAGUAUGGAAACAUAGGUAACAGGUAAUUACCACCAAAAGCUACCAGCGAACAAACUAUCAAUCUUUCUUAAAAAAAGAAAAUAAAAUAAAAUGCCAAUUAGCAGAAAGAAUGCUGCACAUUAAGUCAGAUGACUUACGCUUAUGAUAUUUGGUGUGCUGAUAGCUGUCUUUCAGAAUUCAGUUCCCCAUGCAUGUACAAGCAAUAAAAUCAGAUAAGACAUUUCACUAAAUGAUGAAAUGAAUGCUGAAAAAAAAAGAAUAAAAGGUAACAACAACAAGUGCCAGAUCUUGGAACAUGAUAUAUUAAUAGAUUGAUCACUUUGUAAAAAAGUGCACAGCUUCACACAUUCACUAGAUUUUAAAUCAUCUGUUGAAUAAGGGAUAUAGUAUGGCAUAGCUGCCAAGAGUAUAUUUAUCCUGCAAGAAAAAAACUAGUUAAAUAACGAUAAUGAUUAGCAUAAUAUUUUUGAAAAACCUUGAUUUUGCAUAAAGACAAGUAACAGGAAAAUAUUCACAAAAUUGACGUCAUAAUCACUCAUUGCUUCAAAUCCUUUCUCGUAUUCUCCACUAAACUUUGUUAACAUCCCUUCACUCUGCUGUCAAAGCCUUAGACAGAAGAAAUGGUUAUUUCUUGGAACUCUUUCACACAAAGCUUAACAUGGCAAUAGGCAUCUCCAAAAAUGUUCUCCAUAAAUGUCAAGAGCUAGCAACAAAGACUAUGUGGCCUAAAAAUAUUCUUCAAAACUACUUGAGGGCGAGAUCUGCUGGAUGUACAAUUAGGGAUUAUUAUUUAUUGAGAUUAGGAAAAAUACCAUCUACUACUCCUGCAAAUAGAUCUGUUUGAAGUAUGAUUAACUGCUUGAAAACUGAAAUAAGACAUACCUAAAGUAUAAUGCAUAUAUGAACCAAAGUAAAAUAAAAGCAUAAAGAAAGAUACAUACACAACUUUUGGCGAAGUACAAAGAUGAAGCAUUUGCCAGAAUGUAUGCUCGAUAUCCAUUUGUUGCCACUACAACAAGCCAAAAAAUGGACCACACAAAUCAAUGGAAGUCAAAUAGAAAUAUAAAUAAUUAAUCAGUUGCAAAAGCAAACACAGAACUAAUUUGAAAUCAGAUCCAUAUAUCUGCAUUAUCUUGCUUGGAAGGAUGUGCAGGAUACCAUGAUUCAAGGUACAGAAAAUUGUUAAUAAUAAUCUAAUAAAAGAAUGCUUCAGAUGGACAGUCACACAGACAUAUACUAGACAACAGGCCCAAGGCAUCCUAAAGUGCUUGGGACUUUAAAGAACUUUGCACAAGAUCACUUCUACACCAUGUAAUGAAAAAAAAUACAGAUACAUAGAUAGAUAGAUAGAUAGANNNNNNNNNNNNNNNNNNNNNNNNNNNNNNNNNNNNNNNNNNNNNNNNNNNNNNNNNNNNNNNNNNNNNNNNNNNNNNNNNNNNNNNNNNNNNNNNNNNNNNNNNNNNNNNNNNNNNNNNNNNNNNNNNNNNNNNNNNNNNNNNNNNNNNNNNNNNNNNNNNNNNNNNNNNNCAAACAGAUAGACAGAUGCAUACAUACAUACAUACAUAAACAUACAAUAUGCACAAAAGCACAAAUGUUUAUAUGUGUAUCAAACAAUUGAGCAUACGCAAAUGUUCAACAGAAAUGUGUGGCAGAAAGUGUCUCUUAGAAAUAUAAAUCUGCAAUAGCUUUCAUGUCAUGUCUUGAAAAAGAAGGAAAAAAACUUAAAGCACAACAGUUAUGUUUUGACAGUGGUCAUGAAUUGUAGAAUAAGGGUCAUAAUCAUAUUGUCAUGCCACGCCCAAUUAUCUUUGAAACAGUUAGGCGACAUGGUGUAAAAGUGUUACAUAGUUUCUGCUUCCAUUGAGAACUGUAUGAUACACCUAUAUAUAAGAUGAAUUUAUACAAUGUUAAGUCAUCUUUUAUAUUGACCUGGAAUUAAACUAGGAGUUCAGCUACAACAACAAUUCAACACUUCUCCAAAUUUCAAGCCAAAUGCUAUAUGAACACCAUACUAUAAGUCACUCCGACACAACGGUCAAUACUUUUGCAUGCUUGCUGAAAGCAGGUCUAGAAGGUGAAACUAAAAAUUACGUAGAGUUGGUAAGAUAUGAACACCUAAACUCCCCUAUGAAUUCCACCAUUUUCCUCUCAAAUUUUAGCUCGGAAAUUCGAACGUGUUUCAUAUGGUUCCAUCACCAAUCAUAUCAGCCAUUCUUAGAAAAUAACAAGUACCCAAAAUUGAUAGCAAGAAAACAAGUCAUUUAGGAAUGCAAAAUCAGAAACAGUUGGAUUACAAAGCAUCGGAUCCACAUAGGGUUGAAUGAUAGACAAGAAAACUGAAGGGCAAAAAAGAUUCUAACAACUUCCUUCUACGAACGGACGGAGAUAAACAGCAUAAUAUCUCAUAACGUUAGGAGGGGCGAUAGGGGGGGAAGGGGGAGGACUGGAGAGGGAACCUGGACGAUUCGGCGGAGGUAGUUGGGAAACACGGCGGCGGGGGACGUGCGCCCCUUGGAGACGGUCGGCGGCAUGAGGCGCCCUUUCGCCUCUUCCUCGAUCCAAACGAGAUCCGCGGCUCUCCAACGACUGGUUAAAGUCCAAACUCGGCAGCCAGAUCUCUAAUGAUAAAUCGUUACGGGGUAGAAGAGAUUUCACACGAAAUCGAACCCGGGUUUGGCUUUUAUUAUUAUUAUUAUUAUUUAUACAAUUAAUCAUCCAUAUAAUUUUUUAUAUGAAUACGUUCAAAAAUAUUAUAUUCUUAAAUAAUUUAGAGAUCCCGCUCAUAUCAGUCCAAACUAACGAUACAAAGUGCUCAACGAUAAAAACAGUAAUAUAGUCAGCUGCUAACCAUCACUUUAGAUUGAUAUAAGUGCGAUGUUUGAAAAAUAAAAUUAAAUCAAGAUUCAUUUUGCAACAGAAUGCCACAUUGCUCAAAUUUAUAGCUCCAACCAAAUUUUCCCGCGCCCAAAUCCCUUUGCCCCCGUAUAUAAGUCACUAGGGUACCAUACCUUGUCAAAAAUGCCCCACGUUGUCCUAAAAUGAAAAGAAUAUCAAAAAUUGAGAGGGCAACCAAUUACAUGCACCACAUUUGGCAUAUGGUUUUGAAAGUUUCACCAUAGAACUGAUAUAUAUAUAUAGUGAUUAACAUCUAAUCUUAGUUGUUCACCGUUUGUUUGCUUUUCCUGUUCCUAACCUUAGUUGUUCGCUGUUUGUUUGCUUUUCCUGUUCAUUCCUUCUGAUAUUCCAAGUUUCCAUCAUGCUUGCAUUCCUACAACCAUGAUAGAUGAUUCUACAAAACUAGACAAUCUAAGGAGGUAUUUGGUUGAGGAGAGUGGGGGCCUGAAAUUGAAAUCGGAAUAAGUGACUUCCAUUCCAACCGUUUGAUUGGGAAGAGUUCCAUUUCGAUUCUGAUUUCAAGGUGGAAUAAGAAUGACUCAAUCUAUACAGAAUUCAAUCCCUACUCUCCUCUAUGGAUUCAAAUUUUCAUUCUAAUUUCAAUUUCAAUAUUUCAUUCACGAACCAAACGCUUCGAAGGAUUUGACCAUUCCGAUUUCGAUUCCAAACCAUUCCGAUUCUCAUUCCAUUCCGAUUUUCGUUACGAACUAAAUACCCCUUAAAUGAUUUCUCGAUAGCGAAGAAACUCCCGAUUGCAAGAAUCCGAGCUAUGGCCAAGGGGCCCCAAAAACCUCAAGCCCGAUCAACCCUAGUAUUGUUUAGAACCAGGCUAUCUUGGAAAUCCGAGCUAUUUUGAAGAACCCUCAGUAUGUUCUUGCCUUUUGUAUCAUUGUUUGAUAUGUGCAUGCUAGGCAAAAUCUUAGGGUAAUGCCAUGCGAUUACAAUCAAAUAUUUGCCUAAACCUCUACCUUCUGAGGUUUUUUAGAUAAUAGGAUAAUUUUCUCCAAUACUCUCCCAUUAUCUGCUCCAAUAUUGAAUCACCCAACCUAUGUUCAAAGCUCCAAACGUCCAUGUCAACCAUCUUGUAUUCCAUAUCCUGCUUCAUAUUUCACUCGCCACACACUUUUGAUGCAUUUAGUGAAUAUUUCACUAUCUAUAAUGCAUGCUUGUUUGUUCCACUUAACAGGAUCAGAGCAUUUGCUUAAACUCUUGAUAAAAAUAUUUGAACGUGCGGUGCAUUUUUUUCCCUAGUGCAUAUUACUUUAAUCUAACAAUACACACGGUUGAAGUUAUUGAUACAUGUUUGAUGUUUAUCCCACAAAUAAAUUUAAUGUACAAUACACACAUUCAAUAUGCAGGACACAUGCUUAUCUUUAUCAAGGUACACACUUUUGGAAAUAAUGCACAUGUUGGUAUACCGACAAGUAUUUAUUGUUAAUUGAUUCAUGAUUUAGGAACCACCCACCAUCCCACAACCACCUCCAAUCCAAGCAUUGCAUGGAUCGAAGAGAGCAGCCACACAUUACUUCCAAAGCCCUCCUCGGAUGCACCUGCUAUAAUGGCUAGUCGGAGAUGAGUAAGUUACAUCAAUGCCUAUUGCUUUAUGAAUAAAUUUAUAGAUAUUUUGAAAAUUGCUUGAAAGGUGUAUUUGAAUUUUUUAAUCUGUAUAAAUAUCUACAAUCUUUCCAGCGAAUGUGAGACUUAAUAUAUACUCAAACGAAUCUUCACACUCUAUUUAUCAAAUUAUUUAAUUAUCAAAAAUCAAACAGGAUAAGUCUAUUUUUAACAAGAUUAUUGAGUGGUAGCCAAAUAACGUGAACUUCUAAUUUGCCAAACCAUAUUCAAGUUCCUCAAUAGUGAUGUCGCUAUCAUUUUUGGUUUAUCCUUGCAAGGAGAACUGAAAGCCCUAGAAGACUCGAUUAUUAGGAGACACAUCUCGAGGAGACUAGGAUGCACUGCCAUGAGCUUGAACUAGUUAUUAAGAAACUUUCAUCCCUCUCCACCUCUAAUGGCAUACCUUGUUCCAAAAUUUGGUUAAUUACUGUGGCACGAGGAGGAGGAUUUGUUUGUCCGUCUAUUGCCGCAAACAUAAAUGCCCUUUUCUCACUCAUGAUGGCUAGAUCUGACAUCAGUUUGUUUAUCUAGUCCUUGAAGCGAUUGUGGUGUAUGAAGGCUAUCUCAUGCCAAUGGAAGAUCUAUGUCACCAAACCUAGAAGCGGAAAUUACCAAAAGGGGUGUGCUGAUAAAGCUAGAUCUGUUUAUUUCCAGAUGUGUGUCAAGUAAUAAUAAGUGUAUGUAUCACUAUAAGCAAAGUAGGUAUUAUAACUUACUAGGAGAAGCACUGCAUGUCCAUUCAGAUAUCCCUUAUUUUCGGGGGUUUUGCCAAAGAGGGCAGUGGAAAAGGCCCAAUCAGACCUUGGAAACCCAUCCUUUGAGACAAGGGUUCGGCAAUGCCAAAGGUGCCUGGGGUAAUGGGAUCUUUUCCCCAUGCUACCUUUCUAUGCCAUGGUUAAGAGAGAUUGCAAAAAACAAUUCGAGGAGAGGGAGACCGUCCAUUUCUCAAUACAUUAUCAUUUUUUAAAGACUUAAAAGCACAUCAUGAUCUUANNNNNNNNNNNNNNNNNNNNCAUAAAUAUCCAAGAUCUAUCCAAUAUAUAGGAUAAAAUAUACAUCCAUAUAAAUUUUCGUAGAUUCAAAAAGACCAACACAAAUUUUCUCAAUUUACACUAAAAUAUCCGUGUGUGCGUUGCGGACUGAUUUUGAAGGUUACAACAUUGUUAUAUGCUGUAAUCAGAAAACACAUAAUGGCAAAUUUAAACCAAUAAUUCAAAAUAUGGAUCAGAAUUUGUAUCACUAGAUAUGCCAUAGAAUACACAAUUAAAAAAAUGGAAAAACUAAGGGUGAAACCCCUUCUCAAGUGGACCUUUUGGUAACAGCACAUCGAGUGCUUCAAGUAAACGUCUGAGGGAAGAUCCUUUGCAACCACCAACACGUGGACUGUACCAUGAUGGCAAGGGGGGCCGGACGACGCAGCCUCAAAUGUCGCCACUCCAUCUAAACCCCUUCCAUCAUCUCCAACAUGCAUGACCAUAGAAACAAUCCACAAGCAAGGUUGGUCGUAAGCACUUAAAACAAGCAAGAACAGGUACAAUCAUAAGGUUCCCUGCGAUGAUGUAGAACACUAAGCAAGGUUCCACCUCAAAAAGCCCAAACCAGUAAAGCCCAGUAUUCCGUCGUCGCACUGGGGCUUUGGGCAUAUAAUCACUAACAAGAUAUAACCGACAGAGAAGAGACUUCCCGUGGAACGUCAAUGAGUUGGCAAUGCGCUCCCAAGUUUGUCAGUCUUGUGCACGAAAAUAAGAUGCGGAUAAUAUCUUCAUUCGGGUUCAGUUUCAGUGAAAUAUCUUGGGACCUUGAUAUUUAGAAAAUUGAAAUUACAAUAUCAUGGCAACCAUAAGGCGGGCCGAAACAAGAUUACAUUCUAAUAUAUUUAUAUUCAUAUUUAUUUUAUUUAAUAAAUAUAAAUAUGCAUAAAUAUAUUAGUCGAAUACAAAAAUUUAUAUUCAUAUUUAUUUUAAAUAAAUACGGAUACAAAUCGGAUAUUGAAAAUAUGAAUAUAAAUACGAAUACAAAUUGGAUAACUAAAUUUUAUGACCACAAAAUCAAAGAUAUUAUUAAGUAGAUCAUAAAUCAAAUUAAUAAUAUAUUAAUAUGAUUAUAUAUAUAUAUUUAAAUAUAUGAGUACCAUAUAAAAAUAAAAAAAUUAUAAAAAAAAUCAGAUAUUCGGAUACGGAUCAAAUAGUUGUCUAUCCAUAUUCAUUUUUCUUUGAUGGAUAUAGAGUUUGGAUGCUCAAAUUUUUAUCCAUAUUUUGAUAAAUUUAGAUAUGAAAAUAAAUCUGAACAUAUAUUAUCCGAUCUAUUUUCAUCCCUAUCAUCGUAACAAUCUUGCAUGAGACAAUGCUUUAUACUGAUUUCUCAAGUCAUUUUGUAACCCUAGAGGAUGCAAACUAUGAACUAAAAAAGGGCUCCAAAUUUUGUAGCAAUUCUAAUUAUAGGAGAUGGUAGUUAACAUGCCAUUGUUGAAAAAGAUCUGGAUACUCAGCUCAUCUAUGGACCAUAGGAUACAAAUAUAACAUUUCAAGGCUUUUCAAAUCCAUGAAAAGCUACUCUCCCUUAUGGCCAUUUCAGUAUGAUGAAAGAAUACCACAAACCAAUAAACACCAAAAUAACUAGUAUGCUAUAGGCAUUUUAGGGCAUGUUUGCUUGAGAGGGAGUUGGAUUCUGGAACGCGAAUGGAAAUGAGUGACUCCCAUUCCAGUUGUUUAGUUGGAAGAAGUCUCAUUCUCAUUCCAUGAGAGAAUGAGAAUAUCCUAAUCUUCCAAAAUUCAAUUAGAACUCUCUCCUAGCAUUCAAAUUUUAUUCUAAUUCUGUUUCCUAUCACGAACCAAAUGCACCGAAGAAUAUGGCUAUUUCAAUUUCCAUUUCAAUCUAUUCGGAUUCCGAUCAUAAAACAAACAUACCCUUAGAGCAUGUUUGAUUGGAAGGAGUUGGACUCUGAAAUGAAAAUGAGAAUGAGUGACUCCCAUUUUAGAUGCUUGGUUUGGAGAGUCUUAUUCUCAUUCUAAUUCCAAAAAGAAAUAAAAAUACUCCAAUCUCCUAAAAUCCAAUCCCUACUUUUCUUUAGUAUUCAAAUCACAUUUCGAUACCUAUUCCGAUACCAAGGGCUAUGGCCAUUCCAAAUCCCGUUCCAAUCUAUUCUGAUUUUGAUUCCAAUCGCAAACCAAACUUGCAAUUAAAUAGCGUUCCAAAUCCCGUUACGAAUCUCGUUCCAUUGCUGAAAAAGUUCUGGAUACUCAGCUCAUCCAUGGACCAUAGGAUAUAAAUAUAACUUGAUACAAAUAUAACCUUUCCAGACUUUUCAAAUCCACAAAAAGCUACUCUCCCAUAUGGCCAUUUUAGUAUCAUGGAAGAAUACCACAGACCAAUAAACACCAAAAUAACUAAUAUGCUAUAGGUAUUUUAGGGCAUGUUUGCUUGGGAGGGAGUUGGACUCUGAAAUGCAAAUGAAAAUGAGUGACUCCUAUUCCAGUUGUUUAGUUGGGGGUUAGUCUCAUUCUUAUUCUAUGAGAGAAUGAAAAUGCCCUAAUCUUUCAAAAUUCAAUUAAGACUCCCUCCUAGCAUUCAAAUUCCAUUCCAAUUCUAAUUCCCAUAGCGAACCAAAUGUAUCAAAGAAUAUAGCCAUUUCAAUUUUCAUUCCAAUCUAUUCAGAUUUCGAUCAUGAAACAAAUACAUCCUUAGAGUAUGUUUAGUUAGAAAGAGUUGGUAUUUGAAAUAGAAAUGAGAAUAAGUGACUCCCAUUCUAGAUGUUUGGUUUGAAAAAUCUUAUUCUCAUUCUAAUUCCAGAAGGAAAUGAAAAUGCCCCAAUCCCCUACAAUCCAAUCUCUAUUUUUCUUUAGUAUUCAAAUCACAUUCCGGUACCAAGUUCGGUAUCAAGGGAUAUGGCCAUUCCGAAUCUUGUUCCAAUCUAUUGUAAUUCCGAUUCCAAUCGCAAACCAAACUUGUCCUUAAAUAGCAUUUGAUAAUUCAAAUAAGAUUAUCGAAGUAGUCUUAGAUCACUGAUGAUUCUAAUCCUAAGAUAGUCUGAUCCCCGAUGAUUUAAGAUCCUCAUGUAUGCUAUGUUUUAAUGAUUAAAGAAUCCUAAAUAUUCAUAACUUAUUUGGUAUUCAAUGAAAAUCCAAGAUUACUAACCAUAUAAUAUCAAAACUACACCUAAUAUAUUUUAUAAAAAUAUAUUUAUUAAUCAUAUCAAAUAUAUUAUAAUAAAAUAUUAUCCAUAAAUAUAUAUUUUUUGUUAUUCCUAUAAAUUAUUAAUCCUAUAAAGAUAUAUUAAUUAUUAUAGAAUUAAUAUUUUUAUUUAUACAUAUAAUAUAUUAUUUAUACUAAUAUUUAUUUUGAUUAAAAAAUAAGACAGAUAGAAGUAAUAUUAAAUAAUUUCAUUAUAUAAAUAUAAAGUAUAAUAAUAAUAUAUUUUUACUAUAAUUUAUAAUUAUCAUUGAAUAAUAAUAUAAUUAACUAUAUAUUAUAACAUAAUAUAUCAUAAAUAUAAAUAUAUAUAAAAUAAUAUGAUAUGAUAUAUUGAUACAAUAUAUUAAUGUGAUAUGAUAAAUUUUUUCAUUGUCCUGAGAGGUAUUUUUGCCUUCAAACUUCAGCCCAAGAUCAUGGCCCUAGGAUGAUCUUGGAUAUCUAACCUCAAAGAUGGAUAUUUCAUCGAGGAUCCAAGGGGACAUUUGAUAGAUAUUCGAUAUGGAUGAUCAUCUCAAAAUCAAAGAUGAUAUAAAUAAAGAUAAUGAUCAUUUUGUUUGAUUGCAUCGUGAUGAUUCUACGUGACAGUGAUCUCAAAUUACUACCAUUACAUGAAUCACCAUCCAAUCCAAUAAUGAGAUAUCUGUCUUUAAAGAUUGAAAAUCCAACAUUAUCCCUAAACAAUAAUCUUGGUCUGAAAUUUGAGGAAAAAAAAUAUCCCUCAAACCAACAAAAAAAAUUGGCCUGCCAAUGUAUCAUCAAUAUUUUAUAUUAAUUAUAUAUAAUAUUUUAUUAUAUUAAUAUUAUAUAAAUUCUAUUAUGAUAUAUAUUAUAUUAUAAUAUAUUAUUAAUCAUAUUAUUAUCCAAUGAUAAUUUUAAAUUAUAAUAGAAAUAUAUUAUUGCAUUUUAUAUCUAUAUAAUGAAAUUAUUUAAUAUAUAUUUCUAUUUACUUUAUUUUCUAAUUAAAUAAAUAUUAGCAUUAAAACAUAUAUUUUAAUAUAAUUUAAAAAUUUUAUUUGAUAAUAGUAACUAGUAUAUCUUUAUAGGAUUAAUAAUUUAUAAAACUAAUAAAUAUAUUUUUAUAAAAUAUAUCAGGAACAAUUUUUGUACUAUAUAAUCAAUGAUUUUGGAUUCUCAUAAAAUACCAAAUAGAUUAUUUAUAAAAAUUCAAAAAUAUUUAAUCAUUGAACCAUGACCUAUCAAACACCACGAUUUUAGAUCAUUGGAGAAUAGAUCACUCCAAAAUUUAGAUCACCAAUGAUCUUAGAUCACCAUGGUCAUCCUAUUUGAGUUACCAAAUGCCACAUUAUUAUCUUUUCAAUGACAGUUGCAGUUGAAUGUCUACAAGUGCCAAUAAAUAGAAAACUCAAAGAAUCAAAUGCCUCCUUAAUAAAAAUUCACCAACAACUCAGCAAAUGAUAAGCAAUCAUGCAUUGUAUGACAAAGCUCAAAUUGAACACAUCAAUUGAAUCAGCUAAAAGUGGUCAUUCAUUUGUAUUGAAAUGAAAAGUCUUUACAUUUUCUUUCAAAACCUCACAUAAAUAAUACAACUAUUAGCACAAUUCAUUGGUCAAUGGCCUGUGAUGUUGUACAAGAUACUUACCUGGCUCUCCAGCCCACUUCAGCCACAGCCACAGCCAUUGCCACUGCUGCAGGAGAAGGAAGCAAGAGCCGCACAAGAACCACCCACCCACCUGUAACGAAGUAAAAAUGACGAUACGACAAAAUAGGAUAGAGGAAUUGAUUUGGUCAAAACAAAGAGGAGGAGGAGGAGAAGAAGGGAUUUUCCUUUUGGUCCAAAACUAUAUCGAAGACUGACAGAUGGGUACGUCAACAUGGCCUUUUCAUGAUACGGAUUGGCUUGAUGAGAGCAUCAAGAUCAUCUGGUUGCAUAUCAAAGUGGUCAGAAUCUGACUCUGCUGGAUGCAAAUGGAUUGGAAGGUUAAGUUUCACAGUGCCACUUUCUUUACCAACAUCAAGGCUGAUAUAAUCAGCAAAUCGACCAUCAGAGCAGAAGAGAUCUUCACCCUCUCCUCCAUCAAGUUUGUUUACCGGAGCUAUUAGGGACUCACCGAUCACGCUAAUGGUGGACCCAAAGUAACGUCCCCGGCUGUUGCUCUGAACCAUGAAUCCCUUUUUUUUCUUUGACUUGUUUUUACUCUUAGGGUGAUAAAGCUUGCAUUUAGAUCCCUGUGGACACUUCCCUGUUGCUUCAAAGAGGGGACAUACAUAACUGUGCUUCUUACGGCACUGCUUGUGGAAAGACAAAAAUUCAAUCCUCAACAAUGGUUAGGAAAACUAGAUCCAGUAUUUGAGACUAAAAAUAAUAUUUUAGAAUGCAAUAAAUCAAGGCAAAUAAAAUUAAGCAUCCAAGACCUUGCGAAAAGCUAAAUAAGCAUACUGUACGUAUAACAGACCACCAAACUAGGAACAAAGAGUAAAGGACUUCUGUAAGAUGAUGUGUGCACAUGUCAAACGACGAGCAAAAUACAAGAAAAGGUUUUAUAUAGUAAUCCUGAAGGUAUCAUAUGAAUGACCAACAAGAUAAUUGUAAUUCCGUAUCAAGAUUUAUAUUCAAACCAUCAGUGGUAUUGUACAAAAAAGGAAUGUACAUGCAGUAUUAUAAGAGGUGACAAACAUUCAUGAAAAGCCUUUCAUGGAAACCUUUACAUAUGAAGAAAAGACCAACGAAAACUACAUGUCAAUAUUUUCUUUUAUUAAAUAUUAUGCACAAGUUUGAUGAAGGUCAAAAAAGAGAUAUGGUUCGUAAAGUUAGAAAUAUCAGUAAAUUAAGAUCUGUAGCUUUUAAUUGGUUGAGAACUAAUGAACUAUAGGACAGUAAUGUUUGGCGCCUCUCCAAAAUCCUAAAAGGAGUAUGACUGGUAUAUAAAAGCCACAAGUUUGUCAAUAUUCAAGUUGGGGAAGUUCUUACUAUAAAUUACAUCUACAAUUUAGAUAAAUUCAAGACCAUCUUCUAGGAACUCCCUGUUUAUCCUAUUUCUCUAAUACAUAGUAGAUCUCAUUCUCGAUCCUUCUAUCAUCUUGUCUCAUUGACAUAAAACCGAAGGCACUUGAUGGCAUCCAAAAGGAGCCCUUUUGCUCUCUUUACUCAUUUGUGGACAACUACAUUAAAGACUUUGCUCCACUCGACAACUUCUAGACAAAAAGAUUUAGUUCCAUUAAGUGACAAUUUGAGGCAAAGGUAUGUUGGUGCCAAAUAAGUCCUGCUCCCGUAAUAGAUAGAUUAAGGGAGUUUGUUUGAAGCCAUUUGAUCAUGCCUUAUAGUAUUGUUGAUCUUCUGGAGUCCUCAUACAUCAGGCACUAUAAGCUCACAGAUUGGUAACCUGAUACUGGAUAUUGUAUAAAAGAAAUGUCCUUAUCGUUUUGAAACCCACACCCCUUUUUCAAUCUCACAAGAGUGUGACUCAAGCUGUAUCCAGAUACCAAACUAGAUCGAUUCUGCAUCCAACAAAAAAUAUGGAUUUGUCUUGGAGAUUACUCAAAAUGCUUCAAUAUAUUCAGAGGUCUGGAAAAAUUUGAUAUUACUUAUUCCCAUAUUAAUUUAAACAAGAACUUGAACCAACUGAUAAUCCUAUAAAUUAAGCCACUAAAUUGUAAAUCUGAAAAAUAACUUGACUGGCCUAACUCAUGCACAGGUCAACAUCAAAUUAUUCCAUUUACAUGCUGAUAUCAAAUAAAGCAUUGAUGCAUAACUAAAUUUGAAACCAGUAAACAUUCAAAGCAAACAUCCUGUUUUGUCAUCAUGAUCCAACCUAUGAUGGAAUUCCGCACAUUGCUUCUUGCAACUCCCCUGAGAAGCCCAAUGUAAUUAUUGGAUCACAGACUGUAAAUAACAGAUAAUAAUAGAUAUGGACAAGUUUUAAGUAAUGUUGCUUCGUUUGAUUUAGAUAAUUUUGUCCAUGAUUUCACUAUAUAGUAAUGAACAAGAUGACAGAUUUUAAGCUACAAUUAAUUAUUUAUGUACUUCAUACAUUAUUUUCCUAAAUUGUCGUAUUAGAAUCAUACUUCUUGAUCAAUCAUUUCCCAAGCUACUUCAAAAAAGGAAGUGCAUUGACCAAAUGACAUUAAUUGAUCAAUAAGCUACGUCAUCCCCAUAAUAACACAGCAAAAUGAUCCAAUUAAAAGAAUCAGAAAAGUUACUAUUCUACGAACUGUUGUCUAUGAUUGGAGAUCCAUAUCUGCGUGAUGGUGUCUCAUAUAUUCAUAUAGCAUCACUAAAUUGAUUUUAAUUGUACAUGUUGAUUAUAUAAAUAUUAUGAAUGCAGAUUUUGAUCCGUCGUGUCACCAUAUUUGUAAUUCGAAAAAAUUAGUGUUGAGCACCUUUAUGCAUGUUGUCAUAUAACACCCAUGCAAUGUCACAGAAAUUAAGUACAGAGAACCAGCAUGUGACACAACGCAAAGGAUUAAAAAACUACACAAUCUUGAGGGUAAAUAUAGUCAACAAAUGGCAAAGAUGAUAUCAAUGAAAAUAUAAAAAUAGUAGUUAAUCUAUAACAUUAAAUACCUCAUCACCAUCAGCACAAUAUCCUCUAAGAAAACCUUCACAAAUGGAAGCAUUGCGAUUCACAUUUAUAUGUCUGUAAGGACAAUUUGUAUUUGUACAUAGUCCUGCCAAAGUGUCAUUAACUGGGUUAUCAGAGUUUUGUUUGGCAAUGAAAAGUUAAUAAUAUGCACCAAAAAAAAAAUAGCGGUACCUCGUAAAAAGUAUGAACAAUCUGGCAUUCUUUCUGGAAGUACCUAUAAAGAAAAGCUUAUAUAAUGUAUUAGACAUGUCCAGGACAAAAUUUUUGAUAGACCAUGGUUGUAAAAAAGUGAGAGGACCAAUCACCUUAUGAGUUAGCUUGCAAUUAGUACUGGAACAUAAGCCUUUCAGAAACUUCGUGCAGAUGGCCACUUUAGCAGGGUCAUGAAUGAAAGGACAUUUUCCUCCAUUCUUAUUACACUUGCCAAAUCGGGUGAAGAACUGGCAAUACUGUUGUUUUUUAGCCACACGCAAUCUAGCAGUGUGCAAACUCCAUCGAACUUUCUCACUUGCCAAGAUACGGACAAGCUUCUUUGGAUCUCUGACAAGUUGAUUACCAUUGCCUAUCCGAAUAUAUCUGUUCAAAUAUUUGAAUUCAAAACUUUCAGGAAAAAAAUAUAGCCAUGUAGAAAACAACCGACUUCCAAAUAGGUUGCUCGAAAAAUGAAAAACUGUCUAAAUAUAUAAGCAUCAGAAAUCAAACAUACUCAUCAUUGCCAAUCAAUAAUCUCUUUGGAACCAAAGAUAUCUGACUUCUGUCCCUUGAUUGUUGAUCAGUAGCAAAAGAUGACUGCUCAUCUGCACAAAGUCCCAACGAGCAAGGCAUGAGAAUAAAUUAUAGAUACAAGCAUAAAAGGAGAACUACAGGGAAAAAAUGUACAAUGAUCUCUAAAACAAAAAAUGUUGGAAUUUAUUGUAAUAUUUUUGAAAAUCAGGUCUUGGUUUAUGCUUAUAAGAUUAUGUAAAAGACAGCCCAUUAGUCAUCAGAAGUUUACACAAUCAUGAACAAACUUAUAGAAUAAUAACAUAUGUUAUUAUCGGCACUGUGCUUUGCAGUGUCCAAACAUACAAAAGUUUUGGCACUCUAAGAAUCUUGAAAACUUAAGUGUCCAUGUGAUGCUGCAUAGAGCAGUCACGCAAAUCAGCAGAGUGCAAAUAUCAGAUAAACCAUGAUUGAUAUCGCCGCUCAAAUAUCUCAAAUAAACCAAAUGAAGGUCCAAAUAAAGAAUCAUAAGCAUCUUACAAGACAUCAAGUUGAUAUUAAUUUCUUAACCAUGAAAAUACAUCUAUAUGAAAGCUACUUAUGAAGAAAGAAUGGUCCAUGGUGUUGAGGUGAAAAAAGUACCUGAAAUCCUUACUAAUGUCCGCCUAGAUGGAUCCAUUUUGUACCGAGUGGAACCAAUGCGAAAAAUACGCUCCCCUGUGCAUACAUAUUUGCAAUUAAAAGCUGUGAUCAUUCACUAAAUCUUACCAGGCCCGAAAAACACAAUUGAAUAGCAAUCCCUUAGUUGUGUGGGCCUAGAGAUAAAGUAUUUGGUUGCAAGAGCAAAAGAUCUAUGAUUAUUAGACAAUUAGAUAAUGACAAGAAGUGCAAUCGUUUUUAUUCUAAAUAUACAAAAAAUGUGUUCUCCGAGUACAAAUUUCAUUUCUUAAAUUGGCAUGUGCCCAAUUUAAACAUGAGCUGAUUAAUUUCUUGUAUAGUAGCAGUUAUUUGUGAUAUCAAUAGGGAACCUUUAGAAAUGUGCAGGAGAGCAGAACUAGAAUUAUGAUUUGAAGUCGCAGGCAAACCCAAAAUACAAGAUUAUUGCAACUAAGUGCUUUGUUCCAAUGUUAUCAAGGUGUAGCACAGGUAAAUUUAACCAAUUUAUGCAAGGUUUUCCAGGAAAAAUAUUUAAUUACUGAGUGUGCUUAAGAUGAAGCAGAUUGUAGUUCGGCCUACCUUGUUGUAGCUGAAUUCCAAAAGUUGACUUACGCAAUAAAGAAUUUCGAUUCUUUUCACCAUCACGACUAGACAUACCCCUCUUUCUCUCUCUCCUUUUCCUCUCUACUUCAGCAACUGCUAAUGUAGCUUCCUGUAGUAUGCAUUAUUAUCAUGGCUCACUACUCAAGCAAAUGCGUAAACCAUUUAAGGAUUGUAGAUAGGCCAGUUUUGGGCCCUUCAUAUGAUAGAAUUGGAUAUUUUAUGAAAAUCAAGACAAGGAACAAAUAAAGUGAGAUAUACUAUGGAAUAUGGAUAAUGCAAAAAUGCACAAAUAUAUUUUCAGCAACUUCCAUAAGUAUGAAACAUCCAUAGCAUCUCCUUCCAAGAUAAGCAAAAGACAUAAGCCUUACUUUAGAUCACUUAUGCAAAUUUUCUUAUUUCAGAUGCGUCUGAGUAGUGGAUUGGAACAGUACAUAGAUAACAAGUAAUCACUUAUACAAAUUGUCUUAUUUCAGAUGCAUCUGAGUAGUGGAUUGGGACAGUAUAUAGAUAAAAAAUAAAUGAAUAUACCAAAAACAUUCACAUAUGGGACAACCAAGAAAACAGCACAGCUUGGAAAUUGGAGGUAGAUCAAGUAAUGAACCAGAGCAGUUGCAGUUGCAUAUGUUCAAUUUUCCAUCUGUAACUUGUUUACCAGAACAAAAAUUGAAAUUCAAAUGUGAAUGUUAAUGUCAAAACAGAAUCUGUAGCCUAAAUUUGUCAUUAUACAUAGGAACAUUAUUUUUAAUUUAAAAAAAAUGUUCACAUUGCUUAGUAUAGCAUCCACGACUCACCCACCUCCACCCCCCUCCCCACCCCGUGGGCACACAAAAAAAAUAAAAAUGGCAAAACGGAAAAUCUUACGCCAUCAGAAUGCUUUUGUCCCUUCUACAAUUACCACAUCAGCCUCCAGCAUAUGCAUUAGGCACAUAAAAAAGCAUCCCAUGGAACAAUUUUGGAUCAUAAGCACAGAAAAACAGAUGCUCUGCUUGCUGCACUGCCACAUUUUCUUCAACAUUUGGCCACUAUUGCAUCACUCAUACAAUACCACUCAUGUUAAUCAAAGCAACUACUUGGACAGAUAAUUUGCACCAUAGAGAUAAACACUCAAAAUAAAGGGCCGAUGAAUGAUCCGUUUCAUGAUUAUGAAGACAAUAAGUUGGGGCAAUUGAAAGGAAUUAUAUAGAAUUUGGUGGUGAGAAUGGUUGAAGCUUUUGAGUGAACUUGCAAUAACAAUGCUAAGUGCCUAAGGUUUACCUUGGGUUUACAGGACCACUUUUCAGCCUUACACAGCAGCAGUCCAUCAACAGAAGGCAAUAAAAAAUGAUUAGUAUCAGAAAGCCAACUCACAUGGAAUCCUUAACUAGGAUCUUAACCCCCCCACCCCCCGCGCAACCACAAAAAAAGAAAAAAGAAAAAAGAAAAAAGAAAAAGAAGAAGAAAAAAAGAAAAGAAAAGAAAACUUACCCACAAGAUAGUUCAGCUCAUUAUCCUGAACUUAAUAUUCAACUAAUGAACUCACCUAUUAAAGAUAUUCUUAUAAACCUAUUUCAUGGUCAUCAGCAUUUGCGUAUGCAUUCCAGCUAUGUACAAACAAGAGUAUAUUAUUCAAAAUGAAAAUAAGCAUAUACUCAUCUAUCAACAUUCUCAUUAUCAUGAAAAAGGACCAACAAGAAAAACAGUGAUGCUAAAGUUCCGAUGUCGCAACUUGAAACACUAUUUACCCCUAGAGUAAUUCCAUGAAGCAAUCCAAUAAAGUUUCCUGAGGAUCAUCAGUAAUUCCAUGUGAAGGAUGCGCCAAGAAGAAUGUGCCAGUACUGAAUACACUCACCUCAUUGGCCUUCUUCGAGCGCCGCUCAAUGGAUCUGGACCAUUUUAAACUAGACCCCCCAAUGCUUAAAACCCCAGCUUUUCGCAAAGAGAAUCCAUCAUUUGACACUUUGUAGAUUGUAUCUCUUUUCCUAGAAAGCUGCAGUUUCCUACUCAAUGCACCAUAAGAGAAAAUUAUCGGUUGAACUAGCUCUUUAUAAGAAAGCAAAGACAUGAAGAUGCUAUAGAACUAAAAGUGAAGGAGAAGAUUUAGUAGAAAAUACAGUAGGUGUCCCUCUUCACUGCAAAAUAACAUACGUGAUUAAUGCUAAUGAGUGUCUCUUCGAAUACAAUGUUCUCUUCCAUGGAAAGAGGUAUGGAAGGACCUUCUGACAAUUUAAUAAUGAAACACCUUUUUUGUGCAGCUGAUUCCCACUAAGCGUCCAGACAUGAGGCAAUCUUGAAUGUUUGCUUGCCUUCUGUAGCACUGCAGUAGCAAAACAAAAUCAAAACUUGUCCAAUAUUUUAUUGGAGAUCUAAAUUUUAGCAUCUACAGAUUACAAAUCAGGUCUGCGAUAUAGAUCUGAACAUGAUAGAAGAAGUCAGUACUUGAAAACCAUCAGCAACCACUCCAGAUUGUUCAUUUUUUACGGUAGUGCACAUCUGGGAUAUUAAUAACACUGCUUGUGCAAGUACCAACCAACAAUGAACCAUGAUUUGCUUCCUCUAAUGUGAAGCAUGUCAUCUGUUGAAUGCACCUCCCUUCUAUCACUGGCAUUCAGAGAGAGACUUGAGCUAUAUGCUGUCUUCUUAGUCCAAAAUAGAACCAAGGUAAUGCAUGCGGCAUCUAAUUUAAAGUUCAUGAGUUACUGAAAAGGUGCACAUGAGUCACAAGAAGUAAUGUGUUGCAAAAAAUGUGCAUAUAACAGAUCAACCAUCCCAACCUUUCUCUUAGCUGCAUCAAUAAUCUGUUUGCAGCAAGCCAAUGGUCAUAUUUUUAGUGUCAAUCAAAGUUUGCCAUCUCAGUACUCGAUCCCGUAUGGGUACCAUCCUAUUAUAGUAUUGAUAUGUAAUACGAUACAAGACAGUGAGGCAUAUCGAGUGUCACUAUGGUAUGAGACUGCAUUACCGUUUGGUACUGGUAUGGUAUACAUCCGGUACCGACCAAUACAGCAAAUCUUAGUAUCAAUGAUGAAAGCAUCAAACCCGAGUGCAUUUAUUGAAGUGGCGAGGGUACAGAGCACAUCUAAAAAAUGUAAUAGUCUAUUUGACUCCAGGUACACUUUCAUAAAGGUGUUCCUUGGUGCUCGGUGAAAAUCAUCUUAACAAAUCCACAUAAGGAAUUGAUGCAAAAGAAUUAUAUGAUCAAAACAUGUGAUCCAGUAUAUUCCUUAAUGAUCUCCUUCAGCAAUGACUCAAAUAUGUUCAAACAUUAUAAAUCUCCACAGCUUCUUAUCUCUAAAAUGUUUUUUAAAUUUUCUACAGGUUUCUUAUGGGUUCUUAGUAACUUUUUUUUUUUACAUUAGUUGUCUUUCUCAUGUUAACAGCAUGAAAUAUCUCCUGAAAACUAAAAGGUUUAAAAGUAUUAGGUGGUACAAGAUGGUAGGUUAAAGCCCUACCUCCCUUGCAUGCACACCAGUAGCAACUCUCUCAUGGUGACUACACAGGCUUACACUUAGCCAUUUUAGACAAAUUAUUUAGUUCCAAUCUUGCAACAAUUAUUUAUCACCUGGAUGGUUAUAAUAUAGGAGGGUAGGAAACUCCCACCCAGAUUCAUGACCUUCUCAUAGUGAGUGUACAAGAUUACAGCUUAUCCUAGCUACAAUUCAAUUUCACAAAUUAUUGAUUAGUUGUUUAUGUCCAAUUUUUUAGUUAUUAUUCAUCAUCUGAAGAGUUGUUAUUGUACUAAGUUACUUUGGUUACUAAGCCUAUUUCUUCAACAUUCAAUAAAUGUUAUUUUAUAAUCUUACUUUAAAGUAGCAUAUUAUGUGACCUAAAAUAGGAUCUCGUAUACACGUACAAUUGCUUCCUUAAAUUACCUUGUAGUCACCUCAGUUUUUUAUUCAUUUCUGAUUUUCUAGCUAAGUUUAUAAACAUAAUUACUUUUUUAGUAUAUUUGAUGUGACCCAUGUGCCUACAUUCAAGCAAAGGAUUAGCUGUUCCUCUGGCCACUUGCACAUCAUUGGCAAUGUCUAAAACACUAGCACUUGGAUGGCAUGCCAAAAUGUUCUGAAUAAAGUGAAAACUUGGUGCAGGGGUCGAACCAUAAUUUUUUUGGUGGGGGACGAUAAUGUACAUUAUAUAUGUACACAAUACAUACAUACAUACAUAUAUAACGUAUGUAUGUAUCUAUAUAUGUAUGUACAUAUAUAUAUAUAUAUAUAUUGUACAUACAUAUAUAGAUACAUACAUACAUACAUUAUAUAUGUAUGUAUGUAUGUAUAGAUACAUACAUACAUACAUACAUAUAUAUAUACACACAUGUACGUACGUGUGUGUGUGUGUGUGUGUAAUGCACAUUAUAUAUGUAUGUAUGUGUGUAUACACAUUAUAUAUGUAUGUAUGUAUGUGUGUGUAUGUAUAUAUAUAAUGCACAUUAUAUAUGUGUGUGUGUGUGUGUCUAUAUAUAUAUAUAUAUACACAUAUACAUAUACACAAACACACAUACAUACAUAUAUAAUGUACAUUUUAUACACGCACAUAUAUGUAUGUGCGUGUAUAUAUAAAUAUGUAUACGUGUACAUAUACAUACACAUGUAUAUGUGUGUGUGUGUGUAUUAUGUACGUAAGUACGUAUGUAUGUAUGUAUAUAUGUACAUAUAUGUACACAUACAUGUAUAUAUAGAUUAAAAAUAUAUGAAAAUAAUAUAAUUUACUAAUAUAAAUAUGUAAAAAGGUAGAACAAAUGAUCACUUGUCAGGAAAAUAGACCCUCAUCAACUUUCUUCUUUAAACAGAUAUCUAAUGCAUACGUUAAUGCCAAGCCUCCAGUUCCAAGUUUUCAAUAGCCUUUAGUAGUUGUCCCUCUGCAUCAAGCAGAGGUGGAACCAGGACUUUAAGAGAGAUAUCAGAGCUAUGUCAGAUGCAAUCAUUAGAGAUGGCCAAAAGAAAAGAAUAGUUUUAUAACCUAUAUUACUUAAAUAAUUUGCUUGUCAUUUAACAAAGAAACACAAAUAGAAAAGUCAGAAAAAGGGAUAAUCAAGCCAAAGAAAACGAGACAAAAAGAGCAUUAUCGUGCUUCACAGUUAAUGAGUUAGGUAAUUUGGGACCGCAUUAUACUGAAGGCAUGUUCGAUACUUAUCAGCACAAAUAAAUUGUAAAGCUCAAAUAGAAACAUAAAAGCCUAAAAUAAUUAAACCAUGAUAUUCCGUACCGGUCCAAAUCAUUUGGUACACCCAUACUAUACCGUACCGGCAGGGAACCGGUUUGGUUCAGACCGAUUUUUCAGAAAAUGACCUGAAUCGAACUGAACUGGUCGGCUCGGUAUCGGCCCGAACCGCCCAAUACCGGACCGUUUGGUCCGGUACAGUGCGGUACGGUACCAAUUCGGUCCGGUUUGACUUAGUUUUCUUUUUUCUUUUUUUUUUGGCCGUUGGGUGGGAUUUUUUUGAAUUUUUUAUUAUCGGUACGGUACAGUACGAUACCAUACUGUACCAACUAGGAACUUGUACGGGCCUCAAUACUGGUUAUUGAAACCUUGGGUUAAACUCUUCUUGCAGUUUUUUUUUCCUAUAGCACUAGGAAACAUACAAGAGUUCAUUACUUCAAUCAGUUUUGCUUUGAUAAAAGCCUCUCAUAAUACAUGGAACGACUCAUUAGCCAGACCAAUGACUCAAACUUUAAAAUUAUAGCCAAAUAGAAAUAGUCUUCUUUCUGAAAAUCAGGAGAAUCCAAGCUUGACCAUGUUUGAUAAAGCCUAAGAGUCUAAAUCCGUACUAAUAAAUACAAUCUGCUCAAACGUUGCACAAUGGUAAAACUCAUAGUCAUAGACUAAAUAUUAACAUAUUUGACAUUAUGCUCUGUCUACAUGAAUAAGUAGCACCAUUGAAGGAAAGAAAAAAGCAAAUUACCAUAAAAUCCAUGACAACACAACGAAAAUAAGAAAAGAUGUAGAAAACAAACCUUUAAUCGGUCUCUUCUUAGAUAGGUCCCCCAUGCUGUGAUUCAGGGAGGAAUUUUUUGGUUCCCUUUGAUCUUCUGAAUUCGAACCAUUAGUAGGAACUAUUAAAUCUUGCUUCUGCUGACUAUCUGUAGAGAUGGCAUUCCGAAUAAGUUGAUUCUUUUUAUUCUUAAAGUAGAGAUCUGAUGAUGUGAAGGAAGCUGAUGUCUGAGCCUUCUCAGAAGAAUGGUUAGACAUAUCACGAAAUGGCCCAGAAGUAGCAACCAACUGAUUUGAUUUGCGUUUCACAUAUACCAUUCUCUUUGUACUUAAGGAUUCAGUCUUUUUACCAGUUAUGGUACCUUGAUUGUCAACACUACCUGAAAUCAAGUCAAGUGGUCUGACCUGGCCCUCAAAACCGGUUUCAGAAAUUGGAUUCUCUGACAAGGGAUGAGAAGUCUCCCGUGAAGGACUGGCAGUGCAGUUUGAUAACUUAGUCCCAAGAGGCAAAGGGGGCGUUUUGGGUCUUUCGAAAGAUGGAUUCGACAAAGUUGAAUUAUCAUUAUUAUGAGAUGGCUGAGGAGCGGUUAUGAUGGCCGGUUUUCUAAUAAGACUAUUACCUUUACGAAUAUAAGAAGUCUGAAGUUUUCCAAGCUUCCUUGGUGACUGCUUACACGAUGAACUACCUCCUAGAUGCUGAAUUCGUUGAGAAGAUGAAGCAGAAGGUGGUGUACUAUUCCGGUGCCAUGUCCUAUGUCUAGCAUUCUGGCUUGUACGAGCUGAUUCCUUUGCUGAACUUGAUAGACUUGCCUGAGUGGAAGGAACCUUUGGAACUCCUAAGCUCAGGAGGGUCUUCUGAGCCAUAGAUUCUUUAACACCUAGUACUUUUGAAUCCACAGUUACCAGCUUUCUAGAAUCAUGCAAUGCUUCUACCUUUGUUUUCUCAGGUACAGGAUGACAAUCUAACAUGACUUUAUCUGAGUUCACAUCCUUUUCAGCUUCUGAUACCAAUAAACCCUUACAUGAUAACAAAGAUGUGCCUUCAGUGCUAGGCUUCUCAUUUUGGUUAUUACUAUUAUCGUAAUUGUCCCUGCAACCCUUGCUAUCCAACAGCUGAGGACUUGAUCGUUCUGCAUUUAUACAAUUCAAAACAUCUUGGACUUUGGAGUUAACAAUUGAAGAAUCUCUAUUCAAGAGUCCAGGCAGAGUUUCACAUGUAGCGGAAAGUGGUGAAUGAUCCCCUCCAAGCAUCAGACAAUCAGAUUGAGGUGGCCCAUCCUUAACAGACAUAUCUUCACCAUGCAUGGCUCCGUCAGGCUGGUAUUGAUCUAAAACUGUCUCUUUGGCUUCCGAUGGAAAAUAAGCUGACACACACUGUACAUGCAUCUGUAAGGAAACAUCUUCAUUUUUGCUCUUCCCUCCAUCAGAAAUAUCAAGCUCUUUUGUCGCCAUACCAACAAUGAAUUGUUUUUGGACUUCUCUCUGUGUUUUUCCUUCUACAUUUUUUCCCUUGAGAGACUCAUCACCAAAGAUAGGGGCAACAGGACCAACUGAGAUGACAACUUGCUCAUUGCCCCCUAGUCCAGAGGAAGAAGAGUCCUUAGUAAAAAAUGAAGCAACACAAUUAUCAGGAUAUGUAUAUUUUCCACUGUUAUCCAAUGCAGAUGUCACUUGGUUGUUAGGACCCUCAUCGGUGUCAUUAUCAACAGAAGGAAAGGCUUUAUAUAAUUCCUCUUUUGUGCCAUUUUCAAGUGAUGCCACCAUAACCGCUUCUCCUUGAGCACAAGGCUGUGAACUGGCAUCAUGUAGAGCUCCCAUUUCAAGAACUGAACCCACACAAGUUUGAUCAUCUUUCUCACCAAGUUUUACAUAUUUAUUUUCCUUCAUAUCCUCAUUGCCACCACCUUCUACCAACUUAGCAGCCGUGAGUGAAUGUCCUGCAGCAUUCUUCUCAAUAGAAGCUGUCAUGACUGUGAUUUCUUGCUGACCAAGCGCAGGAUUAGUAUCAUCAGAAUGCAUGGCCUCGGGAAUCACUUCAUUUGCACGUUUUGUUAAUUCCUCAGAUGCAAUGGCCUUGGGAGUCCUCUUUCCUGUGUUUUUAUCAACUGAUGUCAUCUUUAUGAUCCUCCUAGGACAAGUUCGAGGGUUAAUAUCAUUUACAGGUUUAGUAGAAGAAGCUAUUGCUUUUCCUGAUACUUCUGAAUUAUUUGAAACCAGGCUAGGACUGCUUGACAGGUGUCCCUUAGGGGCUCCUCCCUUUGCCUUGGAAACUGAUGGGCUAGCAACAUUGGGAACAACUACUUUCACCCUCUUCUUCACUAUCUUCUUCUUCUUCACCACUGUCUUCUUUGGUGCUGUCACCUCAGGACUCUUCUCAUCAGAACCAGGUAUUACUGGACUUGGGGGGGCCACAACCUUAGCCACCAAUGCAUUAGAUUUAAAAGAGAGAUCCAGUGUGUCCACUUCCAACUGGUGCUCAUCGGAAAUUUCAGGAGGAGAAAGCUGAGGGCAGGAAGAAGGUGAAGAUAAGGACGACUUCCCCUCUAUCCUAUUCCAAACAGAUACCCCAGAUUGUAUUCUGGACAGUGCGCUUGGUCUCUUCAUAGGAGGACGUCCUAGAUUAUUAUCAUUUCCUCCACUGGGCAUCUUCCUCUUGCCUUUGUUGCCCCCAAAGUAAUUCUCUUGAAAGCCAUAGCUAGAGCUACCACCAGGGGCAUCAAAGCCCAGAUUUGCAUUGUUGGCAGAUACAUCUCUAUCAGAAUAAGAACGACCAGAGGACUGCAUCAGGGCUGGCGGUGGAAGCCGUCGUUCGGUAACAGAUUCAGCAUCUCCCCUCCUAUCAGGGAUGAAAAAAUUCCGCAGACUCCUAGGACAAGAGGAAGGUACCGGAGCCGGAGGAGAUUCCAGCGGCACCGAUUCAAAUACCAGAUCACGCCUGUGCCCACCUUCAUCAUCCCAAAACCCUAGCUGCCUCUGGCUCCUCCGGCCAGAACCCUCCUCUAAAUCACAAUCUUGGAGCCCCCCGCAACCUCUUGCUGCCAGAAAGAAAAACACCCGGCUCCUCCAUAUGGUAAGAAUCGCCCCUAUACGAAAGCGGAAGGCCCUGCCUCGCUUCUUGCUCCCAUUGCAACCGGAUAUAUUCAGGCCUUUCGUCAAAACACCGAAAUCUAUCGACAUUGAAGCCACCGCCCUCCCAGGGUUCCUGGGGGAACACCUCCCCGCGGCCAGACCGGUGGGUGUGGCCCAGGGGCGGCCGAUCCUCAGGGAAGAUCGGGCGGUCGGGAACCCUAGGGAGGGGCAGCGGGAAGGGGUCGGGAGGGCUGCGGUAAGGAAAAUAGAGGCGCUCGUCGUCUAGGUGGUGGUGUUGAUGGUGGCGGUCAUGGUCCGGCCGGUGUUGCCGGGCCGGCGGCGGCGGCGGCGGAGGAAGCGGCCGAGAGAAGGGAGGGUGGUGGAGGUGGGGAUGGGGGUGGGCGUAGUAACUGGGGUCGAGGUAGUGGGAAGGGGGAGGCGGGGGAUCGUACCUGGAUCGGCCGGCGAUGUGGGGAUGGUCCGAGGGUUCCAUAGCCGCCGUCGAGGGGCGGAUCCCUUCGUUGAGGAGAGCUCCGAGGGCUCGCUCGAUCGCCGCCACGAGGAGA